GAAGAUGUGGCCGAGUGGUUAUGGCGCUGGUCUAGAAAACCAGUGGACUCUGUCCUCACAGGUUCGAGUCCUGUCAUCUUCG
This is a transfer RNA of Ordospora colligata OC4, 82 nucleotides long. It matches the Rfam family "tRNA". From Rfam's summary of the family: Transfer RNA (tRNA) molecules are approximately 80 nucleotides in length. Their secondary structure includes four short double-helical elements and three loops (D, anti-codon, and T loops). The record is from Rfam. Lineage: Eukaryota; Fungi; Microsporidia; Ordosporidae.